Capsicum annuum is the source of this 121-nucleotide ribosomal RNA. The record is from RefSeq and is a predicted model, not a curated record. Lineage: Eukaryota; Viridiplantae; Streptophyta; Magnoliopsida; Solanales; Solanaceae.
GGAUGCGAUCAUACCAGCACUAAUGCACCGGAUCACAUCAGAACUCCGAAGUUAAGCGUGCUUGGGCGAGAGUAGUACUAGGAUGGGUGACCCCCUGUGGGAUGGCUUCGGGUUGCAUCCC